AGAGUUUGAUCAUGGCUCAGGAUGAACGCUAGCGGCAGGCCUAAUACAUGCAAGUCGAACGGUAAGUCCCUGCUUGCAGGGAACACGAGUGGCGCACGGGUGAGUAACGCGUAUGCAACCUACCUUUAACAAGAGGAUAGCCCCGAGAAAUCGGGAUUAAUACUUUAUAAUAAUAAGAAUUGGCAUCGAUUUUUAUUUAAAGCUCCGGCGGUUUUAGAUGGGCAUGCGUGGCAUUAGCUAGUUGGUGAGGUAACGGCUCACCAAGGCAACGAUGUCUAGGGGUUCUGAGAGGAUUUUCCCCCACACUGGUACUGAGACACGGACCAGACUCCUACGGGAGGCAGCAGUGAGGAAUAUUGGGCAAUGGACGCAAGUCUGACCCAGCCAUGCCGCGUGCAGGAUGACAGCCCUACGGGUUGUAAACUGCUUUUAUAUGAAAAAAAUUCUCCCGACGUGUCGGGAGUUGAUUGUACCAUAUGAAUAAGCAUCGGCUAACUCCGU
Molecule: ribosomal RNA, 501 nt
Filed under: uncultured bacterium
Lineage: Bacteria
Description: bacterial SSU rRNA
Rfam family: Bacterial small subunit ribosomal RNA
Source: RNAcentral